AUGGCUGCCAGCCCAGAGCCACUGCAGAGGAAGGCAGUUACAGUGGGCUUUCCUGAGUUGAGUCUGAUUCCUGUUGACCUUCCAGAGUCAAGUCAGGUGCCCGUUGACUUUCCAGAGUUGAGUCAGUUUCCGGUUGACCCUCCAGAGUCGAGUCAGGUGUUCAUGGAUCCUCCAGAGUCAGGGUUAGUCACUGUCGACCUUCCAGAGUCACAGUUAGUCACCAUCCACCCUCCAGAGUCAGGGUUAGUCACCGUUGACCUUCCAGAGUCAGGGCUAGUUUCUGUUGACCCUCCAGAGUCGAGACAGGUGUUCGUGGACCCUCCAGAGUCAGAGGCAGUCACCGUCGACCCUCCAGAGUCAGGGUUAGACACCAUUGAUCUUCCAGAGUCAGGGUUAAUCACCUUUGACCUUCCAGAGUCAGGGUUAGCUAUCAUGGACUUUCCAGAGACAAGGCUAGUCACCGUUGACCUUUCAGAAUCAAGUCAAGUCACUGGUUAUCUUCAAGGACAGAGUCAAGUCACUGGUGAUCUUCAAGGACAGAGUCAAGUCUCCGGUGAUCUUCAAGGACUGAGUCAACUCACCGGUGAUCUUCAUGAACAAAUGCAAGUCACCAAUAAUCUUCAUGAGCAGAGUCAACUCAGCACCGAUCUUCUGGAAUCCAGUAGAAACACCAUAGGAUUACCAGAGGUUCGUCCUCCCGUUGGUCUAGACACACGGAUGUGGUGGUCUUCUGCUCCGCCCUGGAGGGCUUCUGCCUUGACCACAUGGUUGUGGUGGUCUUCUGUUCCGCCCUGGUGGGCAUCACGUGAUGUCCUUCAUGGACAUAUGUUUUUGUUUUUAUUUUCUUUUGUUUUUCUGUCUGUUUCCUUUGGACCUGGCCCUCUGUCCCUCCCCCUGAUCCUCCGCCGGUCCACCACCCUCCUGGACUCCUUGUUUUGUGUUACACUUCUCUUGUCUCGGUCUUUCCAUUUUACCUGGUUCUCCUGUCUCUGUGAACUAUGUUUUCUGGCCCUCCCUCCCUCCCCCUAG
Molecule: long non-coding RNA, 1029 nt
Filed under: Carassius auratus (goldfish)
Lineage: Eukaryota; Metazoa; Chordata; Actinopteri; Cypriniformes; Cyprinidae
Description: lncRNA (ENSCARG00000052421.1)
Source: RNAcentral